GGCAGAGGCCAGAACUGAAAGAGAGAAAGGCAGUCCUCAAUGGGAUAAGUAAGAAGUCAGGGACUGGGGGCCAUAACUUCUUGACUAAAGCUUGAGGGCAGGAUGAGGCAGAGAAAGUGUCUUCUAAAUAACCCCUGGAGUAGCGAACUCUUUUCCCUGAACCUGUGCUGUAUCUUGGUAACACAUAUUCAACAUCUCCACCUGCACCUAAACUGAUUGUUUGGUUUCCAGGAAUCCUCCCUCCAGGUCACUGGGAGCUUCAAUUCCUUAGAAGAAAGAAAGAGAUGACUCCCGCUUCAUAGUCCAGGAAAAUCCCCACACACCGUGGAGGCUCUUUAAGGCGGAAGGAGGUCUGCGGGGAUGUGAGAGCUUCAUACUCAUUCCCACGACUCUGUCGCAGAAGCCAGUGUCCAUUGGCAGGUGAGGCAGUAACCUUCCCCUUCCUGCUCACUGACUCGCUACAUACUCCAAGAAUCCAUUUGGUCUUGUCUCCCACAUACACCUCCCAGUAGUGGCAGCCAGUCGUGAAGUACUCAGAGCCUAGGAUGCUGACAACGAAAUCAAAUCUCUGGGGGUUGUCAGGUACAGGCUGCCGUCUGUCUCCAAGCCUUACACAUCUUUGGUCCUCAGAAAGGAUGAGUUUGGGAUGUGCUGUGUCUGGGUCCAGGGUCACUGCCACU
RNAcentral lists this long non-coding RNA (680 nucleotides) under Pan troglodytes (chimpanzee). RNAcentral's name for it is "long non-coding RNA NONPTRT000998". Lineage: Eukaryota; Metazoa; Chordata; Mammalia; Primates; Hominidae. The record is from RNAcentral.